GAGGGUAUAGCUCAGUGGCAGAGUGCCUGCUUAGCAUUCAUGAGUUCCUGGGUUCAAUCCCCAGUCCCUCU
This 71-nucleotide transfer RNA is filed under the name Camelus bactrianus (Bactrian camel). It matches the Rfam family "tRNA". From Rfam's summary of the family: Transfer RNA (tRNA) molecules are approximately 80 nucleotides in length. Their secondary structure includes four short double-helical elements and three loops (D, anti-codon, and T loops). Further hydrogen bonds mediate the characteristic L-shaped molecular structure. tRNAs have two regions of fundamental functional importance: the anti-codon, which is responsible for specific mRNA codon recognition, and the 3' end, to which the tRNAs corresponding amino acid is attached (by aminoacyl-tRNA synthetases). tRNAs cope with the degeneracy of the genetic code in two manners: having more than one tRNA (with a specific anti-codon) for a particular amino acid; and 'wobble' base-pairing, i.e. permitting non-standard base-pairing at the 3rd anti-codon position. Lineage: Eukaryota; Metazoa; Chordata; Mammalia; Artiodactyla; Camelidae. RNAcentral also lists the same sequence under 2 other names. The record is from Rfam by way of RNAcentral.